This is an RNA transcript of Ailuropoda melanoleuca (giant panda), 4694 nucleotides long. It is a transcript of the gene named tektin 1, with no coding region annotated. The record is from RefSeq and is a predicted model, not a curated record. The transcript is spliced from 9 exons. Lineage: Eukaryota; Metazoa; Chordata; Mammalia; Carnivora; Ursidae.
GGCCUCUUGCGCCUCUUCCCGCGGCGCGGGGUUGGAGGUCCCGUGUCCAGGCCCAACCCGCUGAGCACGAGGGGGCCGCGGCAGGGCCAGGGCCAGGCGCAGGGCCCCGCCCCCAGGCUCGGGGCUGUGGUCGCUGUCCCCUGCUGGUGUCCGCGCGGGCGUGGGAGGUGGGGACAGCCGUGCCCUCAGUCCAUGUCCCUGGCCGCCGCUAGGCCGCAGGGUCGCGCCCGCGCAGAGCCGCCCGGCCGCGGCCCCACCCCCUUCGCCCGGGUGACGCGUCCCCGGUUGCCACGGAGACGCGCCGUUUGCCUGGCGGUUCUGCCGGAGCUGCAGGUGGGGUGCGGGCGCCCCGGCGAACGUGUGGUCCGUGGUUCCCGCAGGCGCCGCGGACUUUGGAAAGCCGACAUGGCCAAACUACUACAGCCUCCACCCAAGUUCUUGCCCUCAGAGUGGCACAUCGCUAACAAGAACCAGUACCACAGAGCCGAGGCCCAGAGGUCCCGGUCCGAACGCCUGGUGGCAGAGAGCCAGAGGCUUGUGGACGAGAUUGAAAAGACCACAAGGAAGUCUCAAAGCGAUGUAGACAAGAAGCUAGAACAGAGACUCGAGGAAGUCAGGUUCUGGAAGAAGGAGCUGGACAACAAGCUCGAGCAGCUGGUGUAUGUCACGGACGACCUGCUCACGUACCAGACCAGACUGGUGAACGCCCUGGAGAGCAUGAAGGAGCCCCUGCAUAUCACCCAGACGUGCCUGGAAUACAGGGAGAAGCGGGUCGGCAUCGACCUGGUGCGCGAUGAAGUGGAGCAGGAGCUGGUGAAGGAGGCCGAGAUCAUCCGCGGGGUGAUGGCGCUGCUGACCCGCACCUUGGAGGAGGUGUCCGAGCAGAUCAGGCUGAACCGCUCGGCCAAGUACAACCUGGAGAAGGACCUGAAGGACAAGUUUGUGGCCCUGACCAUCGAUGACGUCUGCUUCUCCCUCAACAACAACUCCCCAAACAUCCACUACUCGGAGAAGGCUGUGAGGGUUGAGCCACACUCCGUGAGCCUGGAAGACUGGCUGGACUUCUCCAACAGCAACGUGGAGAAGGCCGACAGGCAGAGGAACAACUCACUGGCACUGAAGGCCCUGGUGGACCGGAUCCUGUCGCAAACGGCCAGCGACCUGUGCAGGCAGUGUGACGUGGUGGACACUGCAUUCAGGACCGGGCUGAAAGAGACCAAGGCUGCCAGGGACCAGCUGGCCGCCCACCUGGCCAAGGUCAUGGAAGAGAUUGCUUGCCAGGAGAAAAACAUCUCCGUUCUCGAAAAGGCCAUCCUUGACCAAGAGGGGCCUGCCAAGGUGGCUCACACGCGCCUGGAGACCAGAACACACCGGCCUAACGUGGAGCUGUGCCGCGACGUCGCGCAGUACCGGCUGCUCAAGGAGGCUGAAGGAAGCCUUAGCCCAGGCUCAGGUGGAGCUGAAGGGCCUGAACCGCAGGCAGCUGGCCCUGCAGGAGGAGAUCCAGGUCAAGGAGAACACCAUCUAUAUCGACGAAGUGCUGUGCACGCACAUGAGGAAGUCCAUCCCGCUGCGGGACGGGGGCGACCAGGGCGAGGGGGCCGGCGGCCUCUGCCCCGACGCCAUCUGCUGACAGCACCUGUGGGCCAGAGGCUGAUUAAACCAUGUUACGGUCAGGCGCGCACGGUUCUCAUUUCAGGGAGGCCCACUGCAGGCGGGGCCUUGAGCCGCGGGUGGGGUUUGGGGGGCUGGCUCCAGGCUGCCGGUGGGCAGUACUGGUGUGAGUGGCUCCCGCGUAUCCCCGCGUCUGUCCACGCAGGCCAUUCCUCCACGUGAUGGACUUGCGGCCUGCGGGGGAAGGGCAGCAGGCCAGCACCUUUCCUUCAGAUUCCGUGGAGUGGGGGUCUGGAUCCCCUCUUUGCUCUGGCCCGUCUUCCUCGUCACAGGCACCAGACCUCUCUCGGCUCCCCUAACUCCUCUUCCCUAGGAAACCAUGUGGGCGAUGCUGACUCGGAUCCCCCUUCAAGUCUUAGAGCAGAUGGGAGCCCUGAGCCCCCAAGAGCCUGCCCGGCAGGCUCUUUGCUGGGAGAAGUGAAGAGGACACAUGGGGCCAGAGGGCCAUCUGGCUCCCAGGAAGUCAGCCGAGCCGUGGGGCUUGAGCAGGUGGGCCAGGCUGCUGCUGUCUGAGGUCUUGGGGUGCAGGGCGGGAGAUGCUCUGGUUCACCAGUGGGCGCAUGUCAGCUGCAGGUGGGGGUGGCUCAGGGCACGUGGGUCCCAGCGGCUGUGGUGUCAGGACUGCCGGCUGGCGGCCGGCGAGGGGCCGGAGGGGAAGGGAGGCACCUCCUUCAGCACCAGGAGGGUACGGGGAGGAUAAUCAUUGGGAGUAUUUUUCUUUCUUCAUUCUCAAGUAACUAGAGUCAAAGAGAAAAACACCCUCCCAUUCCUGCCGCGAAUUCAGGCAGAAAGCUUGGCUCUUGAGAACUCGGCCUCACUCAGCCGCGUCUCUAAGCUACGCAGUGAACGGAGGUUUUCACUGAUUCUUCCCAGCUCUCUGCUUCACACACUUGCAGAGUCGACUGCAAAUCUCCUUGUCGCAGGAGAUGGUCAGCGGAGAUGACGAGAGUGGCUGUGGACUCAGGCUGGCUUUGACACACUUGCUUCCCGCACCUUCUGAGACACUGACCUUGGGCGGGUUCACCUUGCUAAGCCCUGUUUGCUUAGCACUGAAAGAGGGGUGACAGUCUCCACCUGCCAGAGCCGAUGUGAGUGUUCAGGGAGGCUGUGCCCAACACCCCGCAUGCACGGAGCGCUCAGCCAGCCGCCACUUCUGCGGACCCUGCCACGAACCCUGCCAUGUCAGCGCUGGGGGGGAGGAAGGGUCCCACGUGCUGAACCAGGGACUGUGGCGUGGGCUCUGCUAACCCGCGGAAAGCCGCCCCCUUUUCUGCGUCUGUUUCCUCAUUAAACAACACAAAAGCCAACAUCUAUGGAACACCCAGGGAAGGUUUAUGCACAGAGGAACACGUAUUAAAUUCCCAUUCCCCACGAUGGACUGCAUGGGGCCUGCGGUCCCUUCUCCACGUGCAACAGAGAGGCUGGCGCCCAGGGAGGCGGAGACGCGCCCAAGUGACAAAUGCGGUCGUGGACACUUAGGUUCAGGGUCUGGGACCCCGUCCCAGCUUUAUUUGUGUGUUAGGGACCUUAGCAACUAACUCCUGAAUGGGGCGCAGAACUCGGGGUCACAGCAGUCAGCGUGGUUUCCGGACCCUUCAGACCAGAGAGUUGAAGGCCCCUCUCUGACAGUCUUUUCAAAAACAAAAACUGCCCGUUGGUUGUAACCUUGCCUGUGGGCAGUGGUGUGGUGCCUCCGGGGACCGCGGCCCCACUCUCCUCACCCGGCUGGAAAUUCAGAGGCAGUGGCCCCCAUCACUGUCCCCAGGGCUGCUUCCCCUCCCCCAGCAGCCGAGAGGAGGCACCAGUGCAUCAGAACACGUAUCCUGCUCAUCCACAGGGUCAAGGGCAUGCCGAGGUUCUGUGUGUUUCCACGCAGAACCCGGUGCUAUUUGCAGACCCACAGCCGGGCGGGGCUCCUGGGAGACGGACGGGCGUGGACAAGAGUCUGUGGCCCACGGAGGUCACAAGUCUGUGGCUGUCUUUAUCUACCACUGGGUUUACAGACCUCGUGUGUACGGCAUUUUCCCAGGGGACUCGCCUGCACUGGGUCCUGCUUCCGCUCCCCGGUUGGGGGAGUCUCCGUGUCCUCCAGACCUGUGGUCAGGGGAUCCACGAGUCAAACUAUUUUAACAAUACCAAGACAUCACGUGGGUUUUCACUCCUUCUCUGGAGUUUUCCGGAGGCUGCACGGUGUGCGACCCUGGAACGGACUGCAGAAGCAGGGAGGUCUGCUAUCCAGCCAGACGUGAGAUUGUCAACACCGGACACCGAGCCCACACUUCUGCGGAAAGCACGUCGGUAAAAUGUUGACAUGCUUUCUGUGAGAGAGUCUGCUACACUCGGAUUCCGCGUUUGGAGAUGAAACUAACCAGAACUGGUCCACGCCAAGAAGAAAUCCUGCCAAUCAGUCCAUCAGCCAACCAACCAGCGUCCCAGGUGGUCUGCAUUCCAGCUGAGGCUCCCCCUCACCUCAGCGGGCACAUGCCUCUCUGGCUCCCAAGGCCCUUACCACGCGGGGACCCCAUCCCCUCACCCAUGUUGGUCUGUCCCGAAUGCCGGUGAGACAGGAACCACAGGCCCCGAUAGCGUGCAGGGCGUUCCGAUGAGGCCGUGCACGUGCUGGGAGCUGGGAGCACUGGCUGAACAGAGACUCUGACGGAGGCCCAAAGCACUGAGCGUAAGCGCAGACGCAGCAUACAAACCAAGUCUGCAAUGAGACGCUUGUCAAAGGUAUUCUGAAGUCUCGUUCAUUUAGGUCUAUUGAAAAACCCCCGUAUGCAACUCUGUGCACCAAACUCUCCAAAGACCCCGAGCGACCCAUGUCCUCUGUCGGCACGGGCUCGAAAAUUCGUUAUUACCUCUCAUUUAAAGCUCGGGAUUCCCUCCCCACCCCUGAUGAUACAAACAACACAAAGCGUAAACAGGAAAAGAGAAACUGUCGCCAGGAGACCACGGUUAGCAUGUUUGGUGGAGCUCUCUGUGCUUCCAAACAAGCCCACAAAUGUGUUCUGCGUGGUGAU